CAGUCGCCGCGGUAAUACGAAGGGUGCAAGCGUUAAUCGGAAUUACUGGGCGUAAAGGGUGCGUAGGCGGUUGUUUAAGUCUGUUGUGAAAGCCCUGGGCUCAACCUGGGAAUUGCAGUGGAUACUGGGUCACUAGAGUGUGGUAGAGGAUAGUGGAAUUUCCGGUGUAGCAGUGAAAUGCGUAGAGAUCGGAAGGAACAUCUGCGGCGAAGGCGACUAUCUGGGCCAACACUGACACUGAGGCACGAAAGCGUGGGGAGCAAACAGGAUUAGAUACCCCAGUAGUCCCUGUCUCUUAUAA
This 301-nucleotide ribosomal RNA is filed under the name uncultured bacterium. RNAcentral's name for it is "partial 16S ribosomal RNA". It matches the Rfam family "Bacterial small subunit ribosomal RNA", at positions 509 to 809 of the family's 1533-position model. The record is from RNAcentral.